This 329-nucleotide ribosomal RNA is filed under the name uncultured soil bacterium. RNAcentral's name for it is "bacterial SSU rRNA". It matches the Rfam family "Bacterial small subunit ribosomal RNA", at positions 26 to 373 of the family's 1533-position model. The record is from RNAcentral.
AGAACGAACGCUGGCGGCAUGCCUAACACAUGCAAGUCGAACGAUCUCUUCGGAGAUAGUGGCGCACGGGUGCGUAACGCGUGGGAAUCUGCCCUUGGGUUCGGAAUAACGGUUGGAAACGACUGCUAAUACCGGAUGAUGACGUUAAGUCCAAAGAUUUAUCGCCCAGGGAUGACGCCCGCGUAGGAUUAGCUAGUUGGUGAGGUAAAGGCUCACCGAAGGCGACGAUCCUUAGCUGGUCUGAGAGGGAUGAUACGACGGCCACACGUGGGACUGAGACACGGCCCAGACUCCGUACGGAGGACACGCAGGUGGGGAAUAGUUGGACG